UGAUGAUGGUGAGGACAACUAAUAGGUAAAGAUUUAAACCUGUCCCAAGCUUGGUACAAAUUCUCUCCAGCUUUCUGCUUAAAACUUAAGAUUUCACUUCGUAGUUU
This is a small nucleolar RNA of Solanum dulcamara, 107 nucleotides long. Lineage: Eukaryota; Viridiplantae; Streptophyta; Magnoliopsida; Solanales; Solanaceae. The record is from RefSeq and is a predicted model, not a curated record.